UACGUAGGGGGCUAGCGUUGUCCGGAUUUAUUGGGCGUAAAGAGCUCGUAGGUGGUUCGGUAAGUCGGAUGUGAAAUCUCCAGGCUCAACCUGGAGGGGUCAUUCGAUACUGCCGUGACUAGAGUUCGGUAGGGGAGUGUGGAAUUCCUGGUGGAGCGGUGAAAUGCGCAGAGACCAGGAGGAACACCCGUAGCGAAGGCGGCACUCUGGGCCGAUACUGACACUGAGGAGCGAAAGCGUGGGGAGCGAACAGG
RNAcentral lists this ribosomal RNA (254 nucleotides) under uncultured bacterium. RNAcentral describes it as "partial 16S ribosomal RNA". It matches the Rfam family "Bacterial small subunit ribosomal RNA", at positions 524 to 776 of the family's 1533-position model. The record is from RNAcentral.